GUUAGGUUUAGGUGUUGGGUUAGAUUCUGUAGAGAAUCAUUUACAUUCAACUAAGAGUAACUAACAGUUAUAUUUACUAUAUUCUUUGCACUUUAAGGUGCACCGGAUUAUAAGGCGCAUUUUAUGCGGCACUAGUAACUAGGGGUGUCGCCAUGUUUUCCUUCUCAAUUAAGCAGUGGCGGACCUGUAAAGCUAAGCUAAGUAAAAAAAAAAAUUCAAUUCUUAAAAAAACGUUUCAGAUGAUUCAGACAAGUUAAACAAGUGCUGGAUGGUAAUCUACACAGAUUUCUCCUGAAAACUGUUCAUUUGGGGCCGUGUACUGAGAGAGCGCAAACUGAAUCAGGGCUCCGACGGCUGGACAUGGGUGGUCCGGUCAUUUGCAUAGGCUACAGACAGUGCCACCAACCACCCCCCUCCUCCCGAACCAGGUCCGUCAAAGCUUAUUUGAUCCGGUCUUGUCUGCCUGUUGCACAAUGAAGAAGUGAAGUGACUCGAUUCAAAUGUGCAAUGCGUCUACAUUAAGUACUAGCCACAAGCAGCAGGUUCUUAAAUAGAUGGACAGAUAGACAGACAGAGAAGUAGACAGAUUAACAGAUGGAUGGAUGGAUGAAUGGAUAAGUACACAGGUAAAUACAGAAUAUGGACAAAAGUAUUGGGACACCUGCUCCUCCAAAAUCUUUUGUUAGAGUAAAUGUCUCUAUUGUCCAGGGAAGACUGGCCACUAGAUUAUAGAUAAUUACUGUGAGGAUUUGAUUGCAUUCAGCAAUAAGAGUGUUAGUGAGGUCC
RNAcentral lists this long non-coding RNA (786 nucleotides) under Astyanax mexicanus (Mexican tetra). RNAcentral describes it as "lncRNA (ENSAMXG00005025325.1)". Lineage: Eukaryota; Metazoa; Chordata; Actinopteri; Characiformes; Acestrorhamphidae. The record is from RNAcentral.